This is a long non-coding RNA of Cyprinus carpio (common carp), 1097 nucleotides long. RefSeq lists it as uncharacterized. The transcript is spliced from 3 exons. NCBI's taxonomy places the organism in Eukaryota, Metazoa, Chordata, Actinopteri, Cypriniformes, Cyprinidae. The record is from RefSeq and is a predicted model, not a curated record.
GCGUAACGAGAAGAAAGCUGAGCACAGAGGAGAGAAGACGCGAGUCGAUCUUUGCGAUCAAAACUAGAAGUAUAUAGUUGAAGAAAAGUAGAAAACCGUUAAUUUGAUUAAUUUCAUACCGUGCAGCGUAUGGAGAAGCCGAGUGAAUGUUGUUGAGUCACAUUUCACUCCAGGCUUAUAGUGAAUCGCGUGGGUAUUCAUCUUUCACCAACGCCAUUGCUGGCCGACGCGUGCCUGUGAGACGUGCUUGGGUGAAAGUAAAAGACGCUAAAUAUAGAGUUCACCGGCGCCAUUAUUGGUCACAUGCGCCUGUGUGAGGAAGACAGAUAGAAUUGUUCUAGAGGCCAGGUUUUUUUUGUCCCUUUUCUUUUUUUUUUCUUCUUCUUGUAUUUCUAUUUUUUUUCCUUGGUUCUGGAUUGUGAUCUUCUGCGAUAUCCUGUGAAAUUCACGUUUGAUGGCGAGCCACCCGAAUCUGCUACAGAGAGGAAAAGACUACAAUUCAUAAAGAAGAGGACAAUAUCCUUUCUUUCAUUCUCCAGUCUUGCUUUAAGCAAGACAAUUCCUAUUAGAGACUAUUGAAUACUUUUUUUUUUUUUGAGAUUGACAAAUACAGGGAUUGACAGGAAAUUGAUCCGUGCUUUGAAGAGCAUUGAACACUCUUGGUGUAUGGUUACCCAUAGCCGUAAGUUGAUUGAAAUUGAUAUGUGAUAUUUUGAGAAAAGUGUUUUAAAAGAGAAAAAAGACACCACUCCUUUAUUGAGUAUUUUUUGUUUAUUUUAUUUUAUUUCUUUUUGACAUUUAAUUUACCAGUCUGUACAAUACUUUUCUGUUUCCUGGGGUAAAAAAAAGAAGAGUGCACUCUCAAGAGGGGAUUUUCAUGCUUGAGAUUUGUAUCAUUGCCUGAUAUUGUAUUUAACCUGAUUAUAAUUCUCACUGGAAAUCUAAUUACAUACCAGUUUGCGUCUAACUUGUGUUGUCUGUUGUUUCUCACUACAACCUGCUACCUCCUUUACGACUCUUAAAAUCUUCUGAUAAAUCUAUUUGCACCAACAGCAAUUCAUUUAAUUAAUUAAUUGUUAAAUUCUUUAAACACCUGU